GACGAACGCUGGCGGCGUGCUUAACACAUGCAAGUCGAACGGAAAGGCCCUGCUUUUGUGGGGUGCUCGAGUGGCGAACGGGUGAGUAACACGUGAGUAACCUGCCCUUGACUUUGGGAUAACUUCAGGAAACUGGGGCUAAUACCGGAUAGGAGCUCCUGCUGCAUGGUGGGGGUUGGAAAGUUUCGGCGGUUGGGGAUGGACUCGCGGCUUAUCAGCUUGUUGGUGGGGUAGUGGCUUACCAAGGCUUUGACGGGUAGCCGGCCUGAGAGGGUGACCGGCCACAUUGGGACUGAGGAACGGCCCAGACUCCUACGGGAGGCAGCAGGGGGGAAUAUUGCACAAUGGGCGGAAGCCUGAUGCAGCAACGCCGCGUGCGGGAUGACGGCCUUCGGGGUGGAAACCGCUUUCGCCUGUGACGAAGCGUGAGUGACGGUAAUGGGUAAAGAAGCACCGGCUAACUACGUG
RNAcentral lists this ribosomal RNA (468 nucleotides) under uncultured bacterium. Its description in RNAcentral is "partial 16S ribosomal RNA". It matches the Rfam family "Bacterial small subunit ribosomal RNA", at positions 28 to 507 of the family's 1533-position model. The record is from RNAcentral.